GUUUUUUUGGAAAUAAUUUAAAGUCAAAUCUGCCCMCUGAUUUAAUUAAAGGGCUGCAGUAAAUUGACUGUACAAAGGUAGCAUAAUCAAUAGUCUUUUAAUUGAAGACUUGUAUGAAUGAUUUGAUGAAAUAUAAACUGUCUCUUUUUUAAAAUUAGAAUUUAAUUUUUUAGUAAAAAAGCUAAAAUUACUUUAAAAGACGAGAAGACCCUAUAGAGUUUUAUAAUUAAUUUAUUUAUUAUUUUUUAUUUAUAUUAGAAUAAAAAUUAAAAUAAUUAUUUUGUUGGGGUGAUAAAAAAAUAAAAAUAACUUUUUUUUUAAUUUUACAUUGAUUAAUGAAAAUAUGAUCCAUAAUUUAUGAUUAAAAGAAAAAAUUACCUUAGGGAUAACAGCGUAAUUUUUUUUUUUAGUUCAUAUAAAAAAAAAAGUUUGCGACCUCGAUGUUGGAUUAAGAUAAAAUUUAAAUGUAGAAGUUUAAAAUUUUUGAUCUGUUCGAUCAUUAAAAUCUUACA
Molecule: ribosomal RNA, 512 nt
Filed under: Sebastonyma medoensis
Lineage: Eukaryota; Metazoa; Arthropoda; Insecta; Lepidoptera; Hesperiidae
Description: partial 16S ribosomal RNA
Rfam family: Bacterial large subunit ribosomal RNA
Source: RNAcentral